This 541-nucleotide unclassified non-coding RNA is filed under the name Hevea brasiliensis (rubber tree). The record is from RNAcentral. Lineage: Eukaryota; Viridiplantae; Streptophyta; Magnoliopsida; Malpighiales; Euphorbiaceae.
UGGCCAGCAUGGCUGCUUGUGCUGCUGCUUGUGUGCGCCAUUCAUCAUGGCUUCGACCGAGAAUGAGCCAGAUAGUUCGUGCUCUAGAAGGAGAUAUUUCUGCAAUGGAUCUCUAUGAAGGAACAAGGCCUGGACAUAGCACCUUCUAUGGUUCUGCCAGUUCUUUUUAUGAUAACUUUCAAUACAAGCAAGACAUAAAGAAACACAACAUGGAACUAGCCACUUGGCGGUAUGGCGCCAGUGCGUACAGUGGAACCACCAGUGAGUAUGGUCUUAACCCAUCUAGCUCAAGUAGUGAUACUGGCAGCAGAUAAACUGCCCCAUAGAUGCACAACCACUACGAAGACAAUGAUAAUGCUUGGGUUUUAGAGUAACCUUUGAUGACCAAUUACCCUUUCUGUCAUCUGAUAUAGUUCAGUUUCCUUUUUAUGUACACGGCUUAUUGAAUUGAUUAUCUCCCCCAGCGCCCUUUCUGUCAUCUGAUAUAGUUCAGUUUCCUUUUUAUGUACACGGCUUAUUGAAUUGAUUAUCUCCCCCAGCG